Non-coding RNA from Hamiltosporidium tvaerminnensis, 71 nucleotides. The record is from the annotation of a GenBank genome assembly. NCBI's taxonomy places the organism in Eukaryota, Fungi, Microsporidia, Dubosqiidae.
GCAUUGAUAGUAUAGUGGUAGUACAUUAGCUUCCCAAGCUAACGGUCCGGGUUCAAUUCCCGGUCAAUGCA